AAGACGCGGCGUUCGGGAACCGCGUCAGCCUGAUCUUGCCACAUUCUGCAAUUUCGACGUGAUCCCGGUUAAAUUAAAGAUGUAUAACGAUGCACGCGGCUCGCAUCACAAUGGGACGCGUGUAAACGUUCCUGGUUUUACUUAACGCCGCCCUCUGAUGUUUUAGAUGACGGCUACUGCAUAAUAGUAGACAAGUACAUUGGCUAGGAGGGAUAAUAAGAAUAAGAGUAGCAUUCAGAAUUAGGAUGUUGCACGUGCAGUGGUGAUGCUCGUGAAUCAAGAUGCGCGGCGUUUUGUGAACGACGAUCUUUCAAGAGAUCCAACGAUCGGUAAGCGUUGCGGAUAGCAACCGGAAAACAGUAAGAAGACUCGAAAAGAAAAGACGACGUGCGAGUCAGAUGGACGACGGCAACGCGAACUGAAUUGUUUUGCCUCCCAAACCCAGCCAUACAGAGGAUAAUUCCACAAUAUAUAUAUUUAUUAUUAAUACUGAAUAAGAUGUAUGGCGGCUAUGGCAAUUGAAAUUAUCUAUCGGUUUCAUUGGAAGACCCAACAUUAUUCACAUGGCUUCCUGGGUGGCUCACCGUGUAUAGAAAUUAAUUUCUAAAUAGUGUCUGAAAUCUGAAUUCGUACAGUGGUCUACGAUCUGUGCAUGAUGAAUUGUUAUAGAUUUGGAAACGGAACGGAAUGAAAUAUCGGUGGCAGAAAGCUAUGAACAUAAAAUUUCAUAUCCAGAUGACAUAAAUAUCGGACGGCCGACGGGCCCGGUUUGCGUAACUUUUUAUGAUAAUAUCAUAAAUCGAGGAAACGAAUUAACGCGUGAUCAUAACUGAUACCGAGGGCUGAUUAAAAUCGAAGGAAUUGAAUGAACGGAGCAUCGGUGACGAGCCUACGAGGGGGCGGACAGGGGGCAUUAUCAUAUUUAAUGACGCGUCGUAAAGGACGAAUGCUGCUGCUAUGGAAAACACGAAAAUAACGAAACCGGUAUAUAGCCUCUAUUAAAGAGGGAGAAGUACAAGGCUAGCGAGUAAUGGGCUAAGGAAGAGUUUCCAGGGUAAACAACAAAAGUUUCUUUUGAAGGAUACCGAUACAGGAGGCUCAGCCAUUAUAUCAGAUAAGGUUCUCCUCAUUAUCCAACUAAAAUACCGAACAACGGUGGA
This is a long non-coding RNA of Ceratina calcarata, 1160 nucleotides long. RefSeq lists it as uncharacterized. The record is from RefSeq and is a predicted model, not a curated record. Lineage: Eukaryota; Metazoa; Arthropoda; Insecta; Hymenoptera; Apidae. The transcript has 5 exons.